Molecule: non-coding RNA, 130 nt
Organism: Ceratotherium simum simum (southern white rhinoceros)
Lineage: Eukaryota; Metazoa; Chordata; Mammalia; Perissodactyla; Rhinocerotidae
Source: RefSeq, a predicted model, not a curated record
UGAGACUUUUCUUGUUUAUUCAGGUAGGCCAGUAUUGCUAUAAACUUCCCUCAUAGUACCGCUUUCACUGUAUCCCACAGAUUGUGGUAUGUUGUAUUCUCAUUUUCAUUUGUGUGUAGGACAUUUUUGA